RNAcentral lists this ribosomal RNA (250 nucleotides) under uncultured prokaryote. RNAcentral's name for it is "partial 16S ribosomal RNA". It matches the Rfam family "Bacterial small subunit ribosomal RNA", at positions 524 to 773 of the family's 1533-position model. The record is from RNAcentral.
UACGUAGGUGGCGAGCGUUGUUCGGAUUUAUUGGGCGUAAAGGGUCCGCAGGUGGUUGGAUAAGUUUGACGUGAAAUCCCAGAGCUCAACUCUGGAACUGCGUUGAAAACUGUCUGACUGGAGUAUCGGAGAGGAGAUUGGAAUUCCAGGUGUAGCGGUGGAAUGCGUAGAUAUCUGGAAGAACACCGAAAGCGAAGGCAGAUCUCUGGACGAUAACUGACACUCAGGGACGAAAGUAUGGGGAUCAAAC